AAAAAGAGGAGUGGCGAACGGGUGAGUAACACGUGGGUAACCUGCCCAUCAGAAGGGGAUAACACUUGGAAACAGGUGCUAAUACCGUAUAACAAUCGAAACCGCAUGGUUUUGAUUUGAAAGGCGCUUUCGGGUGUCGCUGAUGGAUGGACCCGCGGUGCAUUAGCUAGUUGGUGAGGUAACGGCUCACCAAGGCGACGAUGCAUAGCCGACCUGAGAGGGUGAUCGGCCACAUUGGGACUGAGACA
Molecule: ribosomal RNA, 248 nt
Filed under: uncultured bacterium
Lineage: Bacteria
Description: partial 16S ribosomal RNA
Rfam family: Bacterial small subunit ribosomal RNA
Source: RNAcentral